Molecule: transfer RNA, 71 nt
Filed under: Anaerolineae bacterium
Lineage: Bacteria; Bacillati; Chloroflexota; Anaerolineae
Description: tRNA-Cys
Rfam family: tRNA
About the family: Transfer RNA (tRNA) molecules are approximately 80 nucleotides in length. Their secondary structure includes four short double-helical elements and three loops (D, anti-codon, and T loops). Further hydrogen bonds mediate the characteristic L-shaped molecular structure. tRNAs have two regions of fundamental functional importance: the anti-codon, which is responsible for specific mRNA codon recognition, and the 3' end, to which the tRNAs corresponding amino acid is attached (by aminoacyl-tRNA synthetases). tRNAs cope with the degeneracy of the genetic code in two manners: having more than one tRNA (with a specific anti-codon) for a particular amino acid; and 'wobble' base-pairing, i.e. permitting non-standard base-pairing at the 3rd anti-codon position.
Source: RNAcentral
GGUGCGAGAGCCAGACGGCCAGGCAACGCACUGCAAAUGCGUGAAAGCGGGUUCGACUCCCGCUCGCACCU